GCCUGCUUGGCUAAGUGGUACAGCGCGGCACUUGUAUAGGCACUCGAACAGUGUUCUGAUCCAGGCAUGCCGAGAUCACUCGUUCGAACCGGGUAGUAGGCA
RNAcentral lists this transfer RNA (102 nucleotides) under Kalmanozyma brasiliensis GHG001. Lineage: Eukaryota; Fungi; Basidiomycota; Ustilaginomycetes; Ustilaginales. The record is from Rfam by way of RNAcentral.